UGGGGAAUAUUGGACAAUGGGCGCAAGCCUGAUCCAGCCAUGCCGCGUGUGUGAAGAAGGCCUUUUGGUUGUAAAGCACUUUAAGCGAGGAGGAGGCUACUUGGAUUAAUACUCUAAGAUAGUGGACGUUACUCGCAGAAUAAGCACCGGCUAACUCUGUGCCAGCAGCCGCGGUAAUACAGAGGGUGCGAGCGUUAAUCGGAUUUACUGGGCGUAAAGCGUGCGUAGGCGGCUUCUUAAGUCGGUUGUGAAAUCCCUGAGCUUAACUUAGGAAUUGCAUUCGAUACUGGGAAGCUAGAGUAUGGGAGAGGAUGGUAGAAUUCCAGGUGUAGCGGUGAAAUGCGUAGAGAUCUGGAGGAAUACCGAUGGCGAAGGCAGCCAUCUGGCCUAAUACUGACGCUGAGGUACGAAAGCAUGGGGAGCAAACAGG
This 430-nucleotide ribosomal RNA is filed under the name bacterium. Its description in RNAcentral is "partial 16S ribosomal RNA". It matches the Rfam family "Bacterial small subunit ribosomal RNA", at positions 355 to 776 of the family's 1533-position model. The record is from RNAcentral.